CCCGGAGCUCGCAGGGAAGCUCGCUGCCUGCCAGGCUUGUUUUGCAGACGAGCAAGGACACACCUCUCGGUGGUUCUCAUGGGUCCUGACUCCAUGUGCCUUUGGUCUCUGCUCCUGGACACUUAUGAGCUGCUCAGCCUUUGCCUUUCAGGCUUGGCUGGAGAGUUUGAACAGUACAUGAAAAACAACUGCAGUGCAAGCUGAAUGUGAUGAAGAAAAGGUUGGGAACAGCUGCUUCCCCAGGCUCAUGGAAUCCUUUGGGUGCAGCAC
Long non-coding RNA from Catharus ustulatus (Swainson's thrush), 270 nucleotides. RefSeq lists it as uncharacterized. Lineage: Eukaryota; Metazoa; Chordata; Aves; Passeriformes; Turdidae. The record is from RefSeq and is a predicted model, not a curated record. The transcript has 3 exons.